This 253-nucleotide ribosomal RNA is filed under the name uncultured bacterium. Its description in RNAcentral is "partial 16S ribosomal RNA". It matches the Rfam family "Bacterial small subunit ribosomal RNA", at positions 524 to 776 of the family's 1533-position model. The record is from RNAcentral.
UACGUAGGGUGCAGGCGUUAAUCGGAAUUACUGGGCGUAAAGCGUGCGCAGGCGGUUUGCUAAGACAGGUGUGAAAUCCCCGGGCUUAACCUGGGAACUGCGCUUGUAACUGGCAAGCUAGAGUGUGGCAGAGGGGGGUGGAAUUCCACGUGUAGCAGUGAAAUGCGUAGAGAUGUGGAGGAACACCGAUGGCGAAGGCGGCCACCUGGGAAGGUACUGACGCUGAGACGCGAAAGCGUGGGGAGCAAACAGG